Long non-coding RNA from Saimiri boliviensis boliviensis (Bolivian squirrel monkey), 298 nucleotides. RefSeq lists it as uncharacterized. The record is from RefSeq and is a predicted model, not a curated record. Lineage: Eukaryota; Metazoa; Chordata; Mammalia; Primates; Cebidae.
GCCUCUUGUGCAGCUAGUCUCUCCUUUCCUGGGGAAAUUCCCUGAGUUGUUUAAUUGGUUUAAAAACUUUCUGGGCUAUAAGGAGUCUGUACAUCUGGAAACUUUUCCAAAGGAGCGAGCCACAGAGGGCAUUGCCAUGGAGAUAGAUUACGCCUCUUGUAAACGACUGGACUCCAGCUAUCGAGCCCUACCAAAGAGUUACCAGCAGCCCAAGUGUACUGGACGGACUCCUCUCUGUAAAGAGCAUGGUGGCCUCCGACUGGUUAUCUUCUUACACGGUAGCUCAAUCCCACAGAGG